UUCUCAGGCUAUACCACCCUGAAUACCUCUAAUCCUGCCUGAUCUCAGAUGCUAACCAGUGUCAGGCCUGGUUAGUACUUGGAUCAGAAAAACACACUUGUAUAA
Molecule: ribosomal RNA, 105 nt
Filed under: Chinchilla lanigera (long-tailed chinchilla)
Lineage: Eukaryota; Metazoa; Chordata; Mammalia; Rodentia; Chinchillidae
Source: RNAcentral